RNAcentral lists this unclassified non-coding RNA (258 nucleotides) under Nectriaceae sp. Its description in RNAcentral is "partial contains 5.8S ribosomal RNA, internal transcribed spacer 2, and large subunit ribosomal RNA". The record is from RNAcentral. Lineage: Eukaryota; Fungi; Ascomycota; Sordariomycetes; Hypocreales; Nectriaceae.
CGCACAUUGCGCCCGCCAGUAUUCUGGCGGGCAUGCCUGUUCGAGCGUCAUUUCAACCCUCAAGCCCCCGGGCUUGGUGUUGGGGCUCGGCCCGUCCCUAGCGGAUGGGCCGUCCCCGAAAUCUAGUGGCGGUCUCGCUGUUGCCUCCUCUGCGUAGUAGCUAACACCUCGCAAUGGGAACGCAGCGUGACCACGCCGUUAAACCCCCCACUUCUGAAGGUUGACCUCGGAUCAGGUAGGAAUACCCGCUGAACUUAA